Molecule: ribosomal RNA, 671 nt
Filed under: Staphylococcus sp.
Lineage: Bacteria; Bacillati; Bacillota; Bacilli; Caryophanales; Staphylococcaceae
Description: bacterial SSU rRNA
Rfam family: Bacterial small subunit ribosomal RNA
Source: RNAcentral
AGCUUGCUUCUCUGAUGUUAGCGGCGGACGGGUGAGUAACACGUGGGUAACCUACCUAUAAGACUGGGAUAACUCCGGGAAACCGGGGCUAAUACCGGAUAAUAUUUUGAACCGCAUGGUUCAAUAGUGAAAGACGGUUUCGGCUGUCACUUAUAGAUGGACCCGCGCCGUAUUAGCUAGUUGGUAAGGUAACGGCUUACCAAGGCGACGAUACGUAGCCGACCUGAGAGGGUGAUCGGCCACACUGGAACUGAGACACGGUCCAGACUCCUACGGGAGGCAGCAGUAGGGAAUCUUCCGCAAUGGGCGAAAGCCUGACGGAGCAACGCCGCGUGAGUGAUGAAGGUCUUCGGAUCGUAAAACUCUGUUGUUAGGGAAGAACAAAUUUGUUAGUAACUGAACAAGUCUUGACGGUACCUAACCAGAAAGCCACGGCUAACUACGUGCCAGCAGCCGCGGUAAUACGUAGGUGGCAAGCGUUAUCCGGAAUUAUUGGGCGUAAAGCGCGCGUAGGCGGUUUCUUAAGUCUGAUGUGAAAGCCCACGGCUCAACCGUGGAGGGUCAUUGGAAACUGGGAAACUUGAGUGCAGAAGAGGAGAGUGGAAUUCCAUGUGUAGCGGUGAAAUGCGCAGAGAUAUGGAGGAACACCAGUGGCGAAGGCGGCUCUCUGG